Acanthochromis polyacanthus (spiny chromis) is the source of this 2841-nucleotide long non-coding RNA. RefSeq lists it as uncharacterized. The transcript is spliced from 6 exons. The record is from RefSeq and is a predicted model, not a curated record. NCBI's taxonomy places the organism in Eukaryota, Metazoa, Chordata, Actinopteri, Pomacentridae.
AACCGAGGUAAUAAGUGGAAUGGCAUUCAGCUGCCCGUGCACCGGAGAGAGAUGCUGAUUGUCAAACGGAGGCAGCCGUGAGGCUGCACACCACUACGACAGCAGCGGGGAAGAGCGAUAGAGGGGGAGAGGGAGAGAGAGAGGGAAAAGGGAGAUGGGAGUCAGGCAGGAGCAAAGGAUGUGGAGGGAGCGGCCCUGACACAUACGAUGCAACUGAUACUACAUGCAGUGCAACACACAAGACUGUGACUCUGGCCUACUGACAUUGUGUUCCUAGCUUGUUGUUUAAAUUCUGCUAAAAUUGGUUAUAUACUUACUUUUACUUAUUCAAUUUUCGAUUUCUUUUUAUAUUUGUGUCUCUCUGUAAUUUCGUUGUCAUUGCUGACAACAGUUGUAAAAUGACAAUAAAACCUCUUAUAUCUUCAUCAUCAUCAUCAGACCAGUUUCGCAACAGUUUGCAUCAAACAUUAUGAUUCUACACAAAACUAAAAGUUUCUAAUAAACUCAAAUAGAGCAGGUGAGUUUGGUUUGCAGUGUGAAGAUGGAUGAUGUGUUAGUUUAAGGUUUAGUUGUUUCUAUUAAUCAGACCUGCCCUUCCUCUGAUGGUUACAUUAAACUGACACAGCAGAACAUUACAGCAACUUUAAACAUCGACAUGGAAGAGUUAAUUUAAAGUGAGAGGCAGACGAAAAUCCAUUUUCAUCCAUAUGUAACAGUAACUUGAACUUGUUUCUCUUCUAUAAAGCAAUAAAAUGAGUCAGAACCAAAAUUGGAGAAGCAGCUUUCAGUUUCUAUGUUCCACAUAUCUGGAACAAACUUCCAGAAAACUGCAGAUCUGCUGAAACGCUCAGCUCUUAUCAAUCAAGGUUAAAGAGUUAAUUAUUUACUUUUGCCUUUGACUAAUGACUGUGUUGUAUCUGACCAGACAUACAUGUUUAAUUCAGUUCAGUUCAGUUUUAUUUGAAUGGUGCCGAUUGCAGUUCGGGUUAUCUCAGGACACGUUACAGAACCCAUAUAUGCCUGAAAUGUUGUUUAAACAAUAGUUGAGGAGUGAUUUCUGCUACUCUGGAAUGUUUGUGUUACUCCUAGAAAUGUUUAGAUAGAAGAGAUCCUUGUUCCUGCUCCUGGGACAUGUUGUAAUGGUGUAUUUCUAUGCAGGAAGUGAAGACCUGUUACUGAUGAGACACAAACCUAUAUAAGUGAGCUAUCUCUGUGGCUCCAGCUGAGUUAUUCCCAUCGGCUGAGAAUGCUGUUUUAACGUGCUUUAACGUUGCUGUUUUGCUAUUUUGUGACAGGAACAAGUGAAGGAAGUGAUAUUAUUUUAUCUCCAGUUGCAUCAUCUCCUUGCAUUAGUUUUAGACUUACGUCAGACUUACCUAUUUUGUCGCGAUGUCAUGAUUUUGUCACAUGCUAAGUAGCAAGCCCAUUAGAAAAGUGACAUUUAACAAAACAUUAAAACGAUGCCAUUCCUUUUAGAAUUAGACUAAUUCAAAAUAUUCAGAGUAAUCUACUGGAAUUGGAGGAGAAGCUAGAGGCGUAGAGGUUUGCCCUGGAAAGGAGAGGAAUGAAAGUUAGCCGCAGCAAGACGGAGUAUCUGUGUGUGAAUGAGAGGGACCCAAGUGGAAGAGUGAGGUUACAGGGAGAAGAGAUCAAGAAGGUGGAGGAUUUUAAGUACUUAGGGUCAACAGUCCAGAGCAAUGGAGAGUGUGGAAAAGAGGUGAAGAAGCGUGUACAGGCAGGCUGGAACGGCUGGAGAAAAGUGUCAGGUGUGAUGUGUGAUAGAAGAGUUUCAGCUAAAAUGAAAGGAAAGGUUUACAAAACUAUUAAUUCAAAUGGAUUGGAUAGUAUAGUUCAAUUAUCUAUCUCUGUUACAGAGAAUAGAGCACGUGUUUGCUGCAAACAGCCAUGUCAUUGCUACAUGGUUUCCACCAUCAUCCACAAACCCCAUGGAUCACCUGCCGGUAAUUUGUUAAAAAGUUUUGCUUUUGUAGUGGAGUUUGAGCAUUUCAUAUUCAGUUAUUGAUAUCUUUUUACAGGACAAUGCAGCCAGUCUACAGUGGGUUCUGCUUCCAGUAUUUGUACCUGGACACUGGAUACUCUCCACAUUGCUCACAGCCUAUCUCCUGGCCCUUGGAGGCAGCUUGGUGUGAAUGAUGUUCAGGAAAACAUGCUGCAGAUUAGAAGAUGGUGGUGUCUUGUUCUCCUGCAGAACUUCCCCAUACCAUCUGAAGAAGAGAGAUUGCAGCAAAGAAAAAGGCAACAAGAGAAGAAAAAAACUACAGGAUGUGGCUGAAGUCCCCCUGAAAAAGUUUAGGCUUUGGGAAUCUGCCCCUGAAGCAUCAGGUAUUGUUCCAGCCAGCAUUGUCUCACACAUAUCCAUCGAGGUUGUUGAGGUUCGAUGUCACAGAGCAGUCAUUAUUUCUCUGUGUACUUAAAAUCAACCACUUAAAUCUUGCAUUGUCAUUGUGCCUGUAGACACCACAAUCUGUUUCCUUUCUAGAUGAGGCUGAGAACAGGACUGGGAACAGGAAACGGGGAGAAUCCUUUGGUCAGGGAUGCAAUGGCGGCAGCCCGGUGGUGUGGGACCAGACCUUUCAAGGGAAAAAUUUUCCUUCCCCAAGUUGUUACCAUGGCCAAGGAGCAACGCGUGAAGGCAGUGGAACUCCUUUAUGUCUGUGAUGGCCAGGAAGAAGAGGAGACCGCUGAUCUCAGAGAACCGUUCCUUUUUCUUUUUAGUCUGCAGGAAGACUAUGAGACAUUCUGUCAAGAAAUCGUUGACAGGAGAAACAUGAAGGUGUUUUGUGCUUUUGACAGAAAAGAAUAAAGUUGUGUUCAACGGUG